UACCAUGCAGUCGAGCGGAGAUGAGGUGCUUGCACCUUAUCUUAGCGGCGGACGGGUGAGUAAUGCUUAGGAAUCUGCCUAUUAGUGGGGGACAACAUUCCGAAAGGAAUGCUAAUACCGCAUACGUCCUACGGGAGAAAGCAGGGGAUCUUCGGACCUUGCGCUAAUAGAUGAGCCUAAGUCGGAUUAGCUAGUUGGUGGGGUAAAGGCCUACCAAGGCGACGAUCUGUAGCGGGUCUGAGAGGAUGAUCCGCCACACUGGGACUGAGACACGGCCCAGACUCCUACGGGAGGCAGCAGUGGGGAAUAUUGGACAAUGGGGGGAACCCUGAUCCAGCCAUGCCGCGUGUGUGAAGAAGGCCUUAUGGCUGUAAAGCACUUUAAGCGAGGAGGAGGCUACUGAGACUAAUACUCUUGGAUAGUGGACGUUACUCGCAGAAUAAGCACCGGCUAACUCUGUGCCAGCAGCCGCGGUAAUACAGAGGGUGCGAGCGUUAAUCGGAUUUACUGGGCGUAAAGCGUGCGUAGGCGGCUUUUUAAGUCGGAUGUGAAAUCCCCGAGCUUAACUUGGGAAUUGCAUUCGAUACUGGGAAGCUAGAGUAUGGGAGAGGAUGGUAGAAUUCCGGGUGUAGCGGUGAAAUGCGUAGAGAUCUG
This 654-nucleotide ribosomal RNA is filed under the name uncultured bacterium. RNAcentral describes it as "bacterial SSU rRNA". It matches the Rfam family "Bacterial small subunit ribosomal RNA", at positions 52 to 700 of the family's 1533-position model. The record is from RNAcentral.